This 433-nucleotide ribosomal RNA is filed under the name uncultured bacterium. Its description in RNAcentral is "partial 16S ribosomal RNA". It matches the Rfam family "Bacterial small subunit ribosomal RNA", at positions 29 to 507 of the family's 1533-position model. The record is from RNAcentral.
AGCGAACGCUGGCGGCAGGCCUAACACAUGCAAGUCGAACGAACUCUUCGGAGUUAGUGGCGGACGGGUGAGUAACACGUGGGAACGUGCCUUUUGGUUCGGAAUAACUCAGGGAAACUUGUGCUAAUACCGAAUGUGCCCUUCGGGGGAAAGAUAUAUCGCCAUUAGAGCGGCCCGCGUCUGAUUAGCUUGUUGGGGAGGUAACGGCUCACCAAGGCGUCGAUCAGUAGCUGGUCUGAGAGGAUGACCAGCCACACUGGGACGGAGACACGGCCCAGACUCCUACGGGAGGCAGCAGUGGGGAAUCUUGCGCAAUGGGCGAAAGCAUGACGCAGCCAUGCCGGGUGAAUGAUGAAGGUCUUAGGAUUGUAAAAUUCUUUCACCGGGGACGAUAAUGACGGUACCCGGAGAAGAAGCCCCGGCUAACUUCGUG